Molecule: ribosomal RNA, 253 nt
Filed under: uncultured bacterium
Lineage: Bacteria
Description: partial 16S ribosomal RNA
Rfam family: Bacterial small subunit ribosomal RNA
Source: RNAcentral
UACGGAAGGGGCAAGCGUUGUUCGGAAUCAUUGGGCGUAAAGGGCGCGUAGGUGGUUCUGUAUGUCUACCGUGAAAGCGUACGGCUCAACCGUAUUUUGUCGGUGGAAACUGCAGGACUUGAGGCUGGGAGGGGCUGGUGGAAUUCCCUGUGUAGCGGUGAAAUGCGUAGAUAUCUGGAGGAAUACCGGUGGCGAAGGCGGCAUCCUGGACCGGCAUUGACGCUGAUGAGCGAAAGCUAGGGGAGCAAACGGG